GCCGCUAUGGUGUCGUAGACA
This 21-nucleotide transfer RNA is filed under the name Salvia pratensis. RNAcentral's name for it is "partial tRNA-Leu". Lineage: Eukaryota; Viridiplantae; Streptophyta; Magnoliopsida; Lamiales; Lamiaceae. The record is from RNAcentral.